This is an RNA transcript of Biomphalaria glabrata, 2965 nucleotides long. It is a transcript of the gene named potassium channel subfamily T member 2-like, with no coding region annotated. The record is from RefSeq and is a predicted model, not a curated record. The transcript has 14 exons. NCBI's taxonomy places the organism in Eukaryota, Metazoa, Mollusca, Gastropoda, Planorbidae.
AAUUAAUUCCAUCUAAACGUGGAAAAUAAUUCAGGAUUCAAAGAGUUCUAAUGGGUACCUGACUUUAGUUAGGGAAUUGUAAAGGUGGUUGAUCAUUGUGUUGGCCACAUGACACCCUCAUUAACCAUGGGCCACAGAAACAACAUCUACCACAUAGACCGCAAGGUCUGCAAGGGGAACUUAACAUACAUUUAAUGCUUUACUUUUUGGUAUAAACUUAAAUUUGUUAGCUUCAACUAAAUAAUGACUUAAGGGGAGACUAACGCUCUGAAAACAAUAAAUUGGGAAAAAAAGAUUUGAAUGCUGGGACAAGAAGCCCCUGGAUGAGGCUGCCAAGUGAUUGGUUCAAAUUUCACACAGUUCAGGCCAAACUCUUAGGCCCUUACUCAAAUAGAGUAAUGUUAUUAAUAUAUUUACAUUUUGACAUCAAAGUUUGUACUUCACCGAUCAUAUUGUGCGUAAAGAUGGGUUAGGUUAGAUGAGUUCAGCUUUGCCUUGUUAGCCAACAACUGUCUGUAUCCUGGACUGUCCACACUUGUAUUAUUGCUGGUACACUUUCAGCAGUGAGCCAUGGCAGCAGACGUAUAGAAGGCAUGCUGGGAAUGAAAUUCAUCACAUACAGCUGCAAAAAAGUAUUUUCAUUGGUAAUUAUGUGGGCUGCACAAGCCUCAGCUGAUGCUCACCAAAGCUCUUGGAAAUCCUAUGCCGAACUGGGAGUCGAACACUUAGUGAGGUUGUGACUGAACGUCGCACGAGGUUUGCGGGACAUGUUCUACGUCAAAAUGAAUUACGCACACCAAGAGUUGCGAUAACAUGGAAGCCAAAACAAGGAAAGCGCAAACAGGGACGUCCUCGUAUUACCUGGCGACACACCUUCAUGGAGGACCUCAGAACAGUGGACACCAGGUGGGAGGAGGCUUCAGACAUUACCAGUGACAGAUCAUUAUGGAGACAGCUUGCCGCCCAAUGCGCCGAACGGCGCCGGAGGACCUAUAAUGUUGAGUCAGAUAUUGAAGCCAGAGCUUGUAUCUAAGUCAAAGACCACUAGUAUUUGACAGUGUUUACAGAGGACAAGAUGUCCCAGCUCAGUCCAAAAUUCAUAAAGACUGUGUCUCAGCGAAGCAUAAGAGUUGGUCUUGGAUUCAAACAGUCAAUGAAUGUUUAGGCAUUCAUAGUGAAAAUACUGCUAACUAUCAUCAGUUCUACCAUGAUGUUUGCCACCUGGAAGAAGACAUGCUUUCAUUCUUGCUUUGGAUGGACAGUUCAACAGCUAGAGCUCAAGUCAAGACUCAAGAUCCUGAUGUCAUGUUAAAACAUUUCAGAUUAAUAAACAAUUGUUGGACUAUCAGGGCUAGUUAGAUCUUCUCACAGAGCGAAGUUGAGAUAUUCACCCAGUUCAUCACCGCCAAGAAGUGCCAGAAUGGAAUUUGAAGGCUAGAGCUCUUGUCCAAUAUCAGCACAAACAUGUGUCAUUAGCAAAAGGGGACUUUGUCAAGAUUUUGGAAAAUUCUGAUGCUGAAAGAUGGAAGAUGGAAUAGAAAGUGAAGUCCCUGCUAUUGUGUUGGUCAUUCCUUCCUGCUUCCAAGAGAUUGAUAAAUUAAGAGAACAAAUCAAGGUCAAUAGUUCUAUUGCUGCUAAAAGAUUAAGGUCACAUUUGAUCCAGUUUUUAAGUGCUGCUAUUUCCCAGACACAGUCCAAAGAUAUGGUGAAUGAGGCAGCAGACAUCUUGAAAGGAGCUGAUUUCAAGUUCCUUCAACAGUCUUUUCAUUUUAUUUAGGAAAAAGCUCAUCAGUCACUUCAAACCAGGUGAUGAUGGAGUCAUAAACAGUAGGAUACAGAGGUGAAACAAAACUGGAGCUUUAGUUUGUUUGUUUGUAGAACUUGGCAUCUACUCCAGACAUUAUUCUGAAGAACACUCAAGUAAAAGAAAAGAAGAAAUGUUAAAGGUUAAGGACUUGGGCUCCAAUCAUACUUACACUUCAAAAGCUUUAAUUUGAAAGGUCUUAUAUUUUUGUGGAAAUAAAUUUUACUAGUGGAGUUUUUGUAGCUGCCAGAGUGGAUCAAGGUGGAUGUGAUAUCUAUUUAUAAACAUGUAUACCAGUAUAUUGUAAUCAGUGAUUUUCAUUUUUUGGUAACAGUUUGUUUCCAUUUAGAUUGCAGUCUUUCUUAUGUGAAAACAAGAUGUCUGCAUAAUCUUAGAGGACAUUUUUAAACUCAUUUAAAUUUAUUAGAUGAAAUAUUUAUAAAACAUACAAUGUAAAUUGUUUUGUAAAAUGAUUAUACAUUUGAGUUCAUAAAAAUGUGUAAUUUUUUAAUGGCAUCAUGUUUCUGCUUAUCUGUAUCUGAUACUGAUGAUGUGUUUUCUAAAUCUAUUACUGCUUCACCAUUGAGGAAAAACUGCACAUGUUUAAACCCAUAUCUGAAGUAACUUUCCAGAAAAAAAAAAGAUGUAUGUUGGACAGUGUCCAAAAUUUCAAAUCAUUUCCUUCAAAAUGUUAUCAAUUUCCUCCAUAACUUCAUAACAUUAUUGAAUUUUUUCCUUCAGAACACAAUUGUAAAUUAUCUUUUUUUUUUUUUUUUUUUUUGUUAAACCACAAUGAGAGUCUAAUAACUAAUAGUCUAGCAAACAAUUACUUAUAAUUUGCCUUAUUAUUAUACAAUAUUAAGAUUUACUUCUGCAGGGAUGAAAAACUUUUUUAAAAAUACAAUAGACAUGUAUAAUAAUAAAGUACAUUCACACCUGACUCACUCAUAAUUUACAUGUGAAAAGUUUAUAUCAGAUUGUUUCUAUUUAAUGAUUUGAUUGCCAUCAGUGUCUUGUAUCUCUUUUGUGAUGGUAAAGUCACAAAAUGUAGGAAACCCCACUGUGUUUGGUCCAGUAUGUGGGUUAUUAUAUGUAAGUCUAUUGUAUUUUCUAUAUUAUUUUACAAAUGUAAAAAAAAUAAAAAGAAAUUGUUACACUGUU